GCUGAUUUGGAUAGAGGCUGUUGAGCAGGGCUGAAGUUGGCUAAUGCCGUGUGCUGUUGGCUUUCAACAAUUCCGAUAGAGAAACUGAAGCACAGAGAGGUUAUGCAGCUUUCCCAGGUUCAUGUAGCUGGUAAGAACAGAGUCCAUGUUCUUAUCACUCAAGAUGUUCUGUUGGGGACGGCAUGCCAUGGUCUUAAGGAUCGCCCCCUUCUCAGAUGAUCUGCUGCUCACCUCAGAUACCUACAGAGACUCUGCUGGUGCCUGUCAAAGGUGCUGUCACCUCCCACUCCCACAAAAAGUGCCGCUGCUCUCUCUCAUCUGCUGAAGCCAGCUCUAAUACCUCAAGGAAUGUCAGAAUAUGGGACAGAAGGAGCCAGGACAUCCACCUUGCACUGUUCUGGGAGGAAGAAAUACAUUUUCUGGCCUGCGCAGGGUGGCUCACGCCUGUAAUCCCAGGACUUUGGGAGGCUGAGGUGGGCAGAUUGCCUGAGCUCAGGAGUUUGUGACCAGCCUUGGCAACACAAGGAAACCCCAUCUCUACUAAAAUACAAAAAAUUAGCCAAGUGUGGCAGCGCGAGCCUGUAAUCCCAGCUACUUGGGAGGCUGAGGCAGGAGAAUUGCUUGAACCCAGGAGGCAGAGGUUGCAGUGAGCUGAGAUCAUGCCACUGCACUUCAGCCUGGGCGACAGAGUAAGAAUCUGUCUCAAAAAAAAAAAAAGAAGAAAUACAUUUUCUGUAUACUUAAAAAUAAUUAAAAUGAGGAGAUCGAGACCAUCCCGGCUAAAACGGUGAAACCCCGUCUCUACUAAAAAUACAAAAAAUUAGCCGG
This 828-nucleotide long non-coding RNA is filed under the name Homo sapiens (human). RNAcentral's name for it is "HSALNT0089848". The record is from RNAcentral. Lineage: Eukaryota; Metazoa; Chordata; Mammalia; Primates; Hominidae.